GCAGCAGCCGACAGCACAUAUAAUAAAAUUGGAACAGUACAGAGAAGGUUAGCAUGGCUCCUGCACAACGACAACAUGCAAAUUCAUGAAGUAUUCCAUAUAUUU
Molecule: small nuclear RNA, 105 nt
Organism: Cervus hanglu yarkandensis (Yarkand deer)
Lineage: Eukaryota; Metazoa; Chordata; Mammalia; Artiodactyla; Cervidae
Source: Ensembl